RNAcentral lists this ribosomal RNA (274 nucleotides) under uncultured bacterium. RNAcentral's name for it is "partial 16S ribosomal RNA". It matches the Rfam family "Bacterial small subunit ribosomal RNA", at positions 523 to 796 of the family's 1533-position model. The record is from RNAcentral.
CUACAGAGGGUGCGAGCGUUAAUCGGAAUUACGGGGCGUAAAGCGCGCGUAGGCGGUCUAUUAAGUCAGAUGUGAAAUCCCAGGGCUCAACCUUGGAACUGCAUCUGAUACUGGUAGACUAGAGUUUUGGAGAGGGAAGUAGAAUUUCAGGUGUAGCGGUGAAAUGCAUAGAGAUCUGAAGGAAUACCAGUGGCGAAGGCGACUUCCUGGCCAAAAACUGACGCUGAGGUGCGAAAGCGUGGGUAGCAAACGGGAUUAGAAACCCUAGUAGUCC